Molecule: ribosomal RNA, 821 nt
Filed under: uncultured bacterium
Lineage: Bacteria
Description: bacterial SSU rRNA
Rfam family: Bacterial small subunit ribosomal RNA
Source: RNAcentral
AGUCGAGGGGCAGCACGGGCAAUAGCAAUAUUGUCUGGUGGCGACCGGCGCACGGGUGCGUAACACGUAUGCAAUCUGCCUUGUACUGGAGGAUAACCCCGAGAAAUCGGGGCUAAUAUUCCAUAACAUCAUGAAGUGGCAUCACUUUAUGAUUAAAGCUCCGGCGGUACAAGAUGAGCAUGCGCCCAAUUAGCUAGUUGGUGAGGUAAUGGCUCACCAAGGCUACGAUUGGUAGGGGUUCUGAGAGGAUGAUCCCCCACACUGGUACUGAGACACGGACCAGACUCCUACGGGAGGCAGCAGUGAGGAAUAUUGCGCAAUGGACGAAAGUCUGACGCAGCCAUGCCGCGUGCAGGAUUGAAGGCCCUAUGGGUUGUAAACUGCUUUUGUACGGGAAUAAACGCUCCUACGUGUAGGAGCCUGAAGGUACCGUAAGAAUAAGCACCGGCUAACUCCGUGCCAGCAGCCGCGGUAAUACGGAGGGUGCAAGCGUUAUCCGGAUUUAUUGGGUUUAAAGGGUCCGUAGGCGGGCCGUUAAGUCAGUGGUGAAAGCCCACAGCUCAACUGUGGAAUUGCCAUUGAUACUGGCGGUCUUGAGUAUGUAUGAAGUUGGCGGAAUGUGUGGUGUAGCGGUGAAAUGCUUAGAUAUCACACAGAACACCGAUUGCGAAGGCAGCUGGCUAAUACAUAACUGACGCUGAGGGACGAAAGUGUGGGGAUCAAACAGGAUUAGAUACCCUGGUAGUCCACACCGUAAACGAUGAUCACUAGAUUUUGGCCGCANGGUCAGANUCCNAGCGAAAGUGUUAAGUGAUCCACCU